Molecule: ribosomal RNA, 468 nt
Filed under: uncultured bacterium
Lineage: Bacteria
Description: partial 16S ribosomal RNA
Rfam family: Bacterial small subunit ribosomal RNA
Source: RNAcentral
GACGAACGCUGGCGGCGUGCUUAACACAUGCAAGUCGAACGGAAAGGCCCUGCGUUUGUGGGGUGCUCGAGUGGCGAACGGGGGAGUAAAACGUGAGUAACCUGCCCUUGACUGUGGGAUAACUUCAGGAAACUGGGGCUAAUACAGGAUAGGAGCUCCUGCUGCAUGGGGGGGGUUGGAAAGUUUCGGCGGUGGUGGAUGGACUCGCGGCUUAUCAGCUUGUUGGUGGGGUAGUGGCUUACCAAGGCUUUGACGGGUAGCCGGCCUGAGAGGUUGACCGGCCACAUUGGGCCUGAGAUACGGCCCAGACUCCUACGUGCGGCAGCAGUGGGGAAUAUUGCACAAUGGGCGGAAGCCUGAUGCAGCAACGCCGCGUGCGGGAUGACGGCCUUCGGGUUGUAAACCGCUUUCGCCUGUGCCGAAGCGUGAGUGACGGUAAUGGGUAAAGAAGCACCGGCUAACUACGUG